CCCGCCUUUCCUGUGAGUGGCACGGUCCGGGAGUGCGCCGUGCAAAGCCUUCCGGCAGGGAGAGGCGUCGGUGCAGGCGCGGGCCGGAGGCGGCGGGAGCGGCGGGAUGGCCCUGCCGGGCGGAAAUAAGGAUAACAUCAGAGCAGGAUGCAAAAAGUGUGGUUACCCUGGUCAUUUGACAUUUGAAUGUCGAAACUUCCUCCGAGUAGAUCCCCAAAGAGAUAUUGUUUUAGAUGUUAGCAGCACUAGCAGUGAAGACAGUGAGGAAGAAGAACUACAGAGAUUGCAAGCCAUGCGUGAAAAAAAGAAUUUAAAUGAGGAGGAAGAAAAAAAGAAACAAAAAAGAAAAAACAAAGAGAAGACAAAAAGACAAAGGAAAAGAUCUUCCACAUCAAGUUCAGUUGAAGAGGAGGGGCCAAAGUCAAAAAGACAAAAAUCACAUAAAAAAGAAAGGGAAAAGGGGAAAAAGCAUAAAUCUAAGAAGGAAAAGCAUCAUAAAAAGGAGAAAAAGAAGAGACGAAAGGAGAAAACUUCAUCUUCUGACAGUUCGGACAGUUCAAGUAGUGACUGAGAUGCUGGUCUAUUUUUGUGUUCACUUCUGCAGAGAAGGGGGAGUGAAAGGUGAACAGACCAGUCCAACCUGGAAAAAACUAAAAGACUAUGCUUUAUCUGACUGACAAGAAAAAUAUCCUUCCAGAGAAAUGCUGGAAGCUCAGUUACAUGAAUGUCUAAUCUGGGAGUGGUGUGGCUUUUCUGGAAGAAAAAGUCCCGCCUUCUGUUCCUGAUAAAUUUAUGCACUUUGCCUACACUGUAGUAUCAUUCUCUGUAAGUAAAGAAAUUAAACAAAGGUAUAUGGGCUUAUUAUACUCCUUUGAAAACUUUAUGUUUUAUCAGAACACAGAAUAAAUAGGUUACAAAGUCAUCUAGUCUAACACCUUACUGAAAGCAGAGUCAACUUGCAUUAGACUGUUCACGUUUAUUUGAGUUAACAGUAUCUCCAUGAAGGGAUAUUUCACAGCCCAUUUUGGUGCCUGUCUAGCAUACAGCUACCUUCACUGUGAAAAAAUAGUUAACACAGAAAUGGAAUUUCCCUUAUUGCAUGAUGUCUUUACAAUACUUUUAAGUGUUGUAAAUACCAGGUACUUAAUACAAAAGAGCAAUGUUCUGUUGGCUAUUCAAAUUAUUUGAAUCCCUGUCAUCAUAUAAUUUUUGCCUGUUAUGAGUUUUUUUUCAAAGGGUGUCCCAAAAGCUUGGAGCCAAGUUACUGUGUUUAUCUUUACAUGGAUACAGGACAAAAGUCACUCGGUUUAGCAAUGGCAGAAUAGCUACCAAGACUUUCUCUACGGCAGGUUGAGGAACUAGUGUGUAUCAAAAGUACUGCCAGAUGGGAACUAAACUGCAACUCAUCCAACUUUAGACUUCUAACAGUUUGUUGUUUAGUUUAAGUUAUUAAUGUAGAUUCUGUCCAGAAGCAAAAGAAC
Molecule: RNA transcript, 1481 nt
Organism: Corapipo altera (White-ruffed manakin)
Lineage: Eukaryota; Metazoa; Chordata; Aves; Passeriformes; Pipridae
Gene: SREK1IP1
Gene name: SREK1 interacting protein 1
Exons: 7
Source: RefSeq, a predicted model, not a curated record